CCAAGACAGAGAGCUUGGUUCCACUUGCGAAAUACAGUUUUUCAUUGCCCUGUCCCAGACUGCUGGCACAGAGGUACACUGCCGAGUCCCCCUGCUCUGCAUGCUGGAUCUGCAGAGUGGAGCGGGUCCCCUCCUGCCUCUCGGCAGAGAACCGAUUAUUGGUCAUCCCUGAUUUGUCCAGUGG
This is a long non-coding RNA of Ailuropoda melanoleuca (giant panda), 184 nucleotides long. RefSeq lists it as uncharacterized. Lineage: Eukaryota; Metazoa; Chordata; Mammalia; Carnivora; Ursidae. The transcript is spliced from 3 exons. The record is from RefSeq and is a predicted model, not a curated record.